Molecule: unclassified non-coding RNA, 228 nt
Filed under: Hevea brasiliensis (rubber tree)
Lineage: Eukaryota; Viridiplantae; Streptophyta; Magnoliopsida; Malpighiales; Euphorbiaceae
Source: RNAcentral
CUUCCUCUUUCUCUCUAUCUUUCUUCUGUGCUAAACCUUACGAACUACAAUUAAUAAACCUGGACCAAGAUCCAUCGUCUUCUCUUCCGCGUCAAGUCCGCGGUUUAGCUGAUGCCUUGAUGGGCCUUCUCUGCUCUUGCCUCGAGAGAAAACGCAAAUCCGCCCGAACCACUGGUUCCGACUGCGCUGAUGAUGACUCUGAAACUCAUGACCUCUUCUUCGAUCUCC